CGGCGUGCCUAAUACAUGCAAGUCGAGCGAACAGAGAAAGUGUUUGCACUUUCAAAAGUUAGCGGCGGACGGGUGAGUAACACGUAAGGAACCUACCGAUAAGCGGGGGGGACAACAUCCGAAACGGUGCUAAUACCGCAUAGGAAGUUUGUUCGCAUGAACAAACUUAGAAAGAUGGCUCUGCUAUCGCUUAUCGAUGGCCUUGCGGUGCAUUAACUAGUUGGCGAGGGUAACGGGCUCACCAAGGUGAUGAUGCAUAGCCGACCUGAGAGGGUAAUCGGCCACAUUGGGACUGAGACACGGCCCAAACUCCUACGGGAGGCAGCAGUAGGGAAUCUUCCGCAAUGGACGCAAGUCUGACGGAGCAACGCCGCGUGAGUGAAGAAGGUUUUCGGAUCGUAAAACUCUGUUGUAAGAGAAGAACAAAUUGUAGAGUAACUGCUACAGUCUUGACGGUAUCUUACCAGAAAAGCCACGGGCUAACUACGUGCCCAGCAGCCGCGGGUAAAUA
Molecule: ribosomal RNA, 511 nt
Filed under: uncultured Aerococcus sp.
Lineage: Bacteria; Bacillati; Bacillota; Bacilli; Lactobacillales; Aerococcaceae
Description: bacterial SSU rRNA
Rfam family: Bacterial small subunit ribosomal RNA
Source: RNAcentral